AAGUCGUAACAAGGUAACCGUAGGUGAACCUGCGGUUGGAUCAUUACUAAAUACUUUGACCUGAGGUUGAGCUCAAUUUAUUUUUGAGAUCCCUCAGUGUCAUAAACAUUUUGUGCAUCUAUUGUGUAUUUGGGUUAUCUCUAUCUUUUUCUUUUUGGUAACACAAAAGAGUUGAAGUGAAAAGAUAACCCAACAAUGAAUGAAAAUAAACCAUUAUUCUUUUUUUUGACUGAAAUAAAUUGAAAAAUUUAUAAACAACUUUUGACAACGGAUCUCUUGGCUCUC
This 285-nucleotide unclassified non-coding RNA is filed under the name fungal sp. RNAcentral's name for it is "partial internal transcribed spacer region". The stretch from base 1 to 46 matches the Rfam family "Eukaryotic small subunit ribosomal RNA", at positions 1786 to 1831 of the family's 1831-position model. Lineage: Eukaryota; Fungi. The record is from RNAcentral.